CACCAGCAUGCUCCAUUCGUCGAGAGCUUCGCAACGACAUAAAUUUCGAAUUUUUCCGACACCGUUUUUCGGUGGGUCCCACGGAACUUCGCAGUGUUUUUCCGAGCAUUUAAUGAGCUUAGAAAAUUCUGAAAAAUUUAUGUACUAACCCCCGUGUUAUGGGCUUCGUGUAGGUAUCCUCGAUUCGCGGAAAUUCGACAGUUGACCGGGUCUGCAAAUUUAGGGCCAGACAAACCCGUUACCGGAAAAGUCUCCGAAUUGGACCGAGGUUUUGGCUAGCCCCCCAUUGUCAGACGCCCCGAGCGCGUUCCCGAAGUCGGAAUCGGCAAAGGUGAGCCGGGACAGCCUUCUUCCUCCGCCCAGCCGCCACAGUAAUUUGUCGUCAAGUUUGCCGCAGGAGGAUAUUUUAUUCUGGGUUAACCUGCUUUUAUACUUCGUAGGUUGUUUAUCGAUAUUUGUGUAAUUUUAUUUACUCCUAGAAUUUCCGCAUGUGUUAGCAGUAAUUAUUUGAAUUUGGUUUGUAAUAUUAUUAUCAUGUUGGACCUGUAAACUUAAUAUCUUAAGUCAUGUUUGAUGGAUUGGAUGAGGGAGCUGAGCUCCCAUUUAUUAUUAUGUUGAUGAGUAUGUGGAGGGUGAGCUGAGCUCCCCAAUUGACUAUAUAUUGUGUUUACAGGUCGGGUGAGUCGAAAACUCCCCGUUGGUAAGUCCAUUUUAUGGCCGGACUCUGUCCG
Molecule: long non-coding RNA, 731 nt
Organism: Hevea brasiliensis (rubber tree)
Lineage: Eukaryota; Viridiplantae; Streptophyta; Magnoliopsida; Malpighiales; Euphorbiaceae
Exons: 3
Source: RefSeq, a predicted model, not a curated record